ACGGGGCAGUGUAAUUCGAGGGUUGCCCCCACAUGUCUGCAUAAACCCAUUAUAAAGCGGGAGUCACCAUCCCAUGUAUGGUCUCGGGUUAGUGACCCCAAGUGAGGAAGUCCAGGUUGGUAGUCCCGGCCCCCAGGUUAGUGACCCUGGGUGAAGUCCAGGUAACCAAUCCUGGCCCUGGGGUCCGAGUGACUCGGCCUUGGGAAGGCAAGUCCGAUCGGCAGGAACCUGGCGCCUGAGGAGGAAAAGAUCGAGCUCGUCACCCUGCGGCAGUCCGAGUGGAUGCCUUUCGGGAGAAUCACGAGAGUUUUUGAGGAUCCUGAAAGUGGGUUUUGACUGGAAUGUCAUACCUGAGAGACAUGUGCAUGGACUCAGAUGUGAACAACUUUAAGGAACUAAGACUGACUUUAUAAAGCCAACAAAGCCCCUUGGAAGAACUGGCCUGGUACCUUGCUUACAGAGUUCCCAGCAGCCUUACCAGAAGCCACAAAACUGCAAAUAGUAAUAGAAACGAAACCCAGAAUAGAAGCGCCAGCCUUCUGAGGCCCUCUCAACUGACCAGUGAUGGAGACCUAGCUGCACCCUUUACUGCGCCCCCUUCUCAGCACGAGGCAGCCAGAGCGGUCAUCACCCCCUUUCCCUAGCAGCAGCUAGAGUCUCUAUC
Manis pentadactyla (Chinese pangolin) is the source of this 664-nucleotide long non-coding RNA. RefSeq lists it as uncharacterized. The transcript has 3 exons. Lineage: Eukaryota; Metazoa; Chordata; Mammalia; Pholidota; Manidae. The record is from RefSeq and is a predicted model, not a curated record.